UACAGAGGUCUCAAGCGUUGUUCGGAUUUAUUGGGCGUAAAGGGUGCGUAGGCUGCGGGGUCAGUUGGGUGUGAAACGCCAUAGCUCAACUACGGCACUGCAUUCAAUACUACCCUGCUUGAGCACUAGCGAGGAGGCUGGAAUUUACGGUGUAGCAGUGAAAUGCGUAGAUAUCGUAAGGAACACCAGUGGCGAAGGCGAGCCUCUAGAUAGUAUGCUGACGCUGAGGCACGAAAGCCAGGGGAGCAAACGGG
Molecule: ribosomal RNA, 254 nt
Filed under: uncultured bacterium
Lineage: Bacteria
Description: partial 16S ribosomal RNA
Rfam family: Bacterial small subunit ribosomal RNA
Source: RNAcentral